RNAcentral lists this long non-coding RNA (21188 nucleotides) under Phaseolus vulgaris (common bean). RNAcentral's name for it is "long non-coding RNA (PVUL_LNC001905)". The record is from RNAcentral. Lineage: Eukaryota; Viridiplantae; Streptophyta; Magnoliopsida; Fabales; Fabaceae.
UUCGAGGAGCUCGGGGGAACAAGACCUGGGGGUCCUGGACUUGUUCAACAGUGCAGGGAGAGGCGACAUGGAAUACGCCGGCGCAGCCGCACACGGCGGCGAGGACGGAGUCGUAGUGGAGGAGCUCCAUCUGGAAGAGGCGGAGGCGCUCCGACGCUCCAUCCAAGGCUUCUAGAUGCUUCGUCUCGCCCUCAUCGUCUGUUAGAAAAAGUUGUGUUGUGCUGUGUAAGUAUUGAGAUCAAAUGAAUGAAUAAUGAGAGUGUGGAUUGUAUUAACUGAGAUUUUGGACGGUGGCGUGAACGGUGUAGCCGCGGUCCAGAAGGAGGUGGACGAGCCAUGAACCGAUGGCGCCGCUGCCGCCGGUGACACACACCACCUUCUCCAUUUGGCAACUGUAUUCUAUCAACCUCCAGUUUUGUACUGUUCCAGUGUAAUCUGCUGAGGCAAAAAAUAAUUAUAAUUUGAAGUCAUAUCUGUACAAAAAAAUAUAUAUGAGUGGUGCAUAAUGAAUCUCAACACUCACAAAAAUCUCAUUAAAUUUUAUUAUUAUUAUAUUAUCAUCUUACAUGCACCAUAUCAGCAAAACCACAAAUUGCAUCACAUUUUGCAACAGAUGCAGGAAUUGAACCAGAAAUCAGAUGAUAGCAUAUACAAUGUUGUGAUGAAAAUUGGCAUGCUUAUUAUUAUUCAUUAAGCAAUAAUAUAUUAUAGAAGUAUUUUAAUCACUGGAUAUUGUUCUACUAGAUGUAAGAAACAGGUCAGUGACUUCUGUUGUUGAAAAAGUAGUAUAAUAGUUAUAAUAUAAUGUGAUUAAAAACCAUUUUUAUUGUUUUAAUAUACUGCUAAUACUACUAUAAUUAAUGUUAUAUUAAACGUUCAUAAUAUUAUUGUUACAACGUAAACCCACCCUUUAAUUGCAAUUUGUACUAUAUUAAAAUAUGAUGUCAACAUAUAUGUUAUUAUAUUAUUAAUGUUAUUAUCCUUUGGAUUUUUGUGUAUGUUUUUAUUUGGAUUUUCGUUUAUUCAAAAUUUUCAAGUAAAACAUUUAUUCAUUUGAGUGGAUUUUUUUAAAGGACUCAACUACGACCUGCUUCACGUGACAGAUGUUACACCUUAAGUACAUUACACCUUUAGCUCUCACAGUAUUCAAUUAACGCUUGAUUUAGCUUUCUGCAGUGUCUUUAUUCCUUAUCUUUCCUUUUGUCAUCAUUUUUAAUGUGCUUCUCUUACACUCUACUUCAUAAAGUUUAUAACCUACAACUUGCUUAAGCAACUUUCUUCUUACAUGGUUGUGCUCACACUUUACCUCAUUUGUCCUUCAUCGCAUCAGAAGUUCAGAUUGUUCACUUAUUUUUGUAAGACGUUAUUCAAAUUUUUGUUUCAAACUCUUGCAAUUUAAAUCGAUUGUUUUAUCCAAUGUUUUUUUUUUAUGGUUGUCUGUCCUUUUCAUAUCUUAUUUUCAACAAAAUGGCUUAUGAAGAACUUCUCCAUAUGUUGUUUGUUUUCACUUAUGGUUAUUGUUCUUUGUCUGCAUUCUAAUUUUUAAGUUUAAUUUUUAGUUAUCUUUAUAUUGGCAUUUCGGAUUAAAUGCAUCUUCAAUUAUUUUUGUAUGAUUUUUUUCCAUUGCUUACUUACUCUGUUUUCUAUUAAAAUUAAAACUUAUUACUUCUUUCAUGGUGGAUUUCAAGCUUUUGUGCUAAAGAAAUGACCUUUACAACUACAACAUCAGCUGUUUUCUAAAUACUUUUUGUUCUCGUUGUUUUUUUAAAAAAAUAUAAUACUAUUUAGGCAUGUAUUGUGCUCCGCUAGAUUUUAUUUAUGUGUUGUCUCAUAAAAGUCUUUCAUUUCACAGUAAAAUGUAUAGUGCAACUUAAAGAGAAAACCACUAUUUCGUUAUGUGUUCUUUUUCAUUAUAUUUUUCUCAAUUUUAUUCUAGUUGUUUUGUUUAACCUAUAUAUGCUUAUGUUGUUUUUAUGUUUUUCUUUUUUUUGUCAUAAGAUUUUGUAUUUAUGAACCUCUUAUUCAGAUUGUGUAACAUUUGAAUCUGGUUUGUUGCACACACUAACAUUGGCAGCUAAAACAAAGUUUUAUUGUUAGUUUAUAUUUACGAAUGUAUGUGUUCUUCUAUUUAUUUAUGUCCUUUCUUAUUUGACCUAUGUCUUUGACUAAUUGAUCAACACACCAAAUCUUCGCAACUACAAAAAUCUUUUAGUAUGCAAGAAUACAAUGUUGUUCCUUCUUCUUCACAAGUUUUAACAAAUUUGGUUUGCUUAUUUUGUUUUUAUGUAUUUUUGCUUUUUUUUUUAUAUGAUUAUGUAAUUAUGAACCUCUUAUGUUGUUGGAUGUCCAGAUUGUGUAACAUUUUAAUCUAAUUUGUUGCACACAAUUAGAUUGGCAGCUAAAGCAAAAUUUUAAUGUUAGUUUAUAUUUACGGAUUUCUGUGUUAUUCUAUUUAUUUAUGUCCUGUUUAUUUAACCUCUGGCUUUGAAGGAUUCAUCAACACACCAAAUAUUGGCAACUCCGUCAAGGAGAUACAUCCUAGAUUUUUUUUUUCUUCUUGUUUUCCAUGCUUGUAAUGCCCAACAUGAGUAUCUAAUUCUACCCUUUGAGAUUUGAGAUUUUCUCUUUAGUUGUUCCUCUACUCUAACACAAAGUUGAACUAAAUCAUUUAAAUCAUUAUAAGGAAAAAGUUCAACUUUAUCCUUAAUUUCAUAAUUAAGACCACUUUGGAAUCGAGCCCUAAUCCGUGCCCUUAACAUAAAUAACUCAAUUAUCUGCUUCUAUUGUUCUACAAUCAUGUUUAUAUGCGUUAACUUAUUGAGUUGUUUCAUCAACUCUCUAUCAUAUUAGGAAGGCUCAUACCUCUUCCUAAGAGCUGAUCUAAACUCAUUCCAAUACCUUAUUUAGGGAAAAUUAUGCAACCUAAGAUCUUUUGUAUAGGUGGUCCACCAAGUCAUGGUUGAAUCUUGAAAACUAAGGGUAGCUAAGGUAUCCCUCCUCUCAUGAUUUAUUUGGUGAGCCGAAAAAAAUUUCAACCUUCAUCUCCAAGGUUACGUAAUCUUCUAUAUUUGAUGAAAAAUGAAAAUAAGGAAGGUCAAUCUUAGGCUCUUUAGGCACAUGAUGGGCUCGAUGUCUAUGUUGUCUAGCAUUUUAUUGGUAGUAGUAUGUAUUGUGAUACCUACUAUAAUCAUAUUGGCUUUGGUAAGGGAUUGUAUGAUGAUUGCUUAUAUGUUUGUGAGAUCCCUCUCUUAGGAAAUCACAAAUUUAGAAAUUAUUUCUUUCAAUUCUGAAAAAUUCAUUUGCUUGUUUUGUUACUCUUUCAUAGACAUUAAAAGAAUCUUGAGUGUUUUGAUUACCAUGAACACUAGAUUGAUGUGAAGGAUCACCCAUUGUUGAAUUAAAAUAGAAAAAGUUUUCACAAAAAUUUACAAUUCAAUUGAGUGAUCAAAAUAUUUUUUGAAAAUAUUUUUUUAAUUUUUGGUGAAGUAAAUAGAUCAAGUAUGAGAGUUCUCCAAGUUCACUCCCACGAAAAGUGAGGUGAGUCACAAUGGACUACUUACAUACCAAGAGCUUAUCCCAAAUAAUUCUCAACAUAAGUUCCCUCAAAAUAAUUUUAGAAAUGAGAGUGGGUGUUUGAAUGUCGAAAUGAAACUAAAGAUCAAAGGAAGAUCUACUAAUAAGCAAAAAAAGAUAAAAAUCCUAUGUAUCACAGAUACUUAAAAGCAAGAAAAUAAAGGAAGGAAAUAAAGGAAGGAAAUAAAAGCAUGAAAUUAAAGCAAGAAAUUAAUGCUAGUGAAAAGUAAAUUAGCCGCAUCCUAAAGUUCAAGUGCAAUUGACACUAAGACUCCAGCAGCACACUUACACCACUAAUGCACAUGUAAUCUAAGAAUUUGAAGUAAAAUAAGUACAAAAGAAGAUGGACAACAAUAUAGAUAAAUAGUUAAGUGAAUCUCAAGAGAACAUUACAAAGAACUUACUUGAAAUGGACUUUAUUAAAAAUUUUAAUUUCAAGAAAUAUACUAAGUUAUGUUGGAGAUCCCACAUCGACUAGAGAUAAGGACAUUUCAUAAUAUAUAAAUGGGUGCAGACCUCAAUCUUAUGAGCCGGUUUUAUGGGGUUGAGUUAGCCUUAAAGUCCACUUCGCAAUAAGUUACUUUUAUACAUAUAGCUUAAUGAACAUAUCAAGGCAUAAGUAAGUAUAUUUGAUUAUUGUUAUAUAACAAAUUCAUUUGUAAUUCACAUUCCUAAAAGUAUUUACAAAAGAUUCGAAGUAAAGCAUGUCCUUAUCUCAAGAUGCACUACUUGUAAACAAAUAACCCAUCAUAUUCUACAUAUUCCUUUGACAAACUUGAUUACCCGAACUAGAAGUUGCUCAGUUGGAGAUCUCACAUCGACUAGGGAUUAGAGCCUUUUAUUGUAUAUAAAUGGAUGCAAACCUCAACCCUGUGAGCCGGUUUUAUGGGGUUGAGUUAGGCUUAAAGUCACAUCUCUAUCUUAGUGGAAAGUAUUGAAUAGAGUAUAAAUCAUAUACAUCUGUGUUAAAAUGAGUAUACAUCUAUAUUAAAAUGAGUGAUGUCAUUCAUACAUCUAAAGAAAUCAAUGUACAUUCUCAUUUCAUAAUAAAAAGAUAUGAAUGACAAUUACAACACAAAGACCCUACCUACCACGAGUUGGUCAUACUCUAAUCUACGCCCAUAAACUAUUUCCCGUGAGUUCUAGGCAUGGAGGCUUCUCAAUGUUUCAAGCUAUAAACAAAGACUGAGAAUUGUACACUCAAUCAUACAAUAAUAUAAAUAAAAACACAGGAAAAAUCAAUAUCCUCGCAUACAAUAACAUAAUCAAGAGGACAAAUUAUAAUAUACAUCAAAAAAUUAAUUUGGUGAAUUUAAAGACUCAACCAUACAUUCAAUCAAAUCAAAAUGUAUUUCACAAGUAUUAUUAUAGGAUAUGACAACCCAAACUAACAUCGUUUUCCUCCCUCAUCCAACGUCUACUUUCAUGACUUACUACUUAAAAGUACACCUUCAUUGAGAUUAUUUAAAAAAAAAACUUAAAUUGUUAUAUGAAGGUGCAUGGGGAAAAUAGAGAGUGGAGGAGAAUUUGCCAAACUAAUGCCCUUUUCUCUUUCCUUUUUUGUACGUAUGCAACACUUUAUAUUCUAAUUUUCAUGCACAUUUCAAUUCUUCACAAAUGACCUACAAACAAAUAGUGGUCCAUAUGCAUAAAACAAAAUGUAACUAGGGUUUCCAUUCGCAUGUAAACACCCCACGUUUUUCUUACUGUACCCAUAUAAAUUAUCCUUAUUAAUUUAUAAUAUUAUUAAUAAAUUGAAUUUUGAAAAAAUGAUUUUUCUCAUGAUUUAAAACUAAUUUGUUUAACAAUUUGAUACAUACAUUAUAUUAUAGUUAAUGAAAAUAAUAAUUAAUAACUAAAAUCUUAAUAACUAAUUAGAUACAAUUUAAAAAUUAUUUUAUAAUUUUUAUUAAUAAUAAAAACUAUUUAAAUACUAAUACUCAUUCAAUUAUAUCAAUUUCCUUCCAAAUCCUCCUCAUACAUAUAGUAAAGAAAUUGUUUUUCGUUUUCCAUGUUCUUUACACGUUUUCUAUUAAUUUCUUUGUGGACAAUAAGUUUAAGCAUUCCAUCUUCAUUUUGAAAAAAGAAACAAACAGGUGAGAGCUACUCAUACGCAAGUUCCUUUUUCAUACUAUUAGAGAAGUGUAGAUUAUGUCAUAGAAGAGCGUCUAAAGGUAACAGAGAUACAAAAAUGUGAAGACAACACAGAAACAUGACAGAAAUAGAGAUCCACCCAUGAACUAAAAUUAGGUAGAAAAUGUUUUACAAAGAUGUCUCUCGUCACUUGUUUUAGAACAAUGCAAACAUAACAACAACCACACCAACAAAUAUAACAGAUUAACAACAACAGGAAUUUGCACCAAACAUAUGUGCCAUAAGGACUCAUAUUGCAGCAGCAAUUAUGGAAGGAAUCCUUUUUUCUUCAAAUCCUCUACAGAAUCCUUAAUAAUCUCCUCAAUUGGAGUGAUUUGCAAACCCAAAUCCAUAAGUUUCUUUGAUCCAUCCUUCACUCUCAAUAAUCCUGGUUGGGUAUCUCGUUGCAUCCUUUCAAGCAAAAUCACAAAAUACAUCAUUCGCAACUAAGUUAUGCAUUAACAAUAGAUGUAUGAAGUGUGUGGGUAACUUACUUAGGCACAUUGUACUCUGGAUAAAGUUCACCAACUUUGGCCGCAAAAUCACCAAAGUGAGAGAUAGAUUCAACACACACAUGCCUACCAACUGCAGAUUUGUUCUCAUACACCAAAAUAUGUGCCAAUGUUACAUCCUUCAAGUGGACCGAUCCCAUAUAAAUGUCCUCGUAUGUUUCAUCAGAACCUGCGACGCGACAUACAAAUUUGUCUCAAAUUAUCAGUAAUUCCCCUAAAAAAAUCAUAACUUGGGGAGUUUGAUAUUAGUAUUCGAGUCAACAAUUAUACUGUGCAAAAUCUAAUGAAAAGAGUAUAGCACAAUCAAACAAGUCUAAUACUUUUCACGAAGGCAUCAAGUUCUAAAUAUCCUACACAGCUACACCAUCAACUACACUGUCGCAGGUCUUAGAAAACAUAUAAAAUAAUAAUAAAAUAAAAAUAUGAAUAAUAAAUUAAUAACAUAAUAAUAAUUAAAUAAUUAAAAUAAUAAUAAAUAAUAAACAAUAAUAAUGUUGGAGAUCUCACAUCGACUAAAGAUUAGAGUCUUUCAUUGUAUAUAAGUGGGUGCAAACCUUAAAUUUAUGAACUUGUGAGUCAUUUCAUUGUAUAUAAAUAAAUGAAAACCGAUUUUAUGGAGUUGACUUAGACUUAAAGUUUAUUUUGUAAUAAAUAAUAAAAAUAACUGAUAGUAAAAAUAUUAAAAUUAAAAUUAUAAACUAAUUAUAAUAUUAUAUUUUUUAUUUAAUUAAAUUAGUUUAUAAUAAUAUAAAUUAAUUAAUUAUUAUAUAUAUUAUUUUUAAAUUUUUUAAAAUUUAUUAUAUUUAUCAAAUUAGUAAUAAACUUAAUUCAAAAAACUUCAUUUUACUCAACUCCUCAAAUUCCCAGUAUCAAAUUUACUCUCCAUUUGAAAAAAACCCAACUUGAUACAAUGAGUUUAAAAAUAACUAUCUAAAAUAAAGAAUAAAUUUAUACUUAUAUAAUAUAAAAAAUAUAUAUUAAAAUAAUAAUAUUGAAAAUUGUAUAAAAAUACUGCAUUGUAUGAUUAUAUGAUUAACCCAAAAGAUAAAGCAUUCUCAAGCUUUUUGGGUAGUAGAAGAUUUCUUGAUACCAUAUUAUAAUAAUAUAAUAAUAUUUUAAAUUAAAAAUAAAUUAAAUAUAAUUAAAAUAUUAUUUUAAGGAUUUGUCAAGUGGAUUUUUUUAUUAUUGUAUGACCACCCAUUUUAGAACUUUUCCAGUUCACAUUUCCAAUAUUGAAGGAAACUCCUGCUGCAAAAAUAGAAAGAAAUAUUUGGAAAAUCCAACUGAUUAAGCAUUAGUGUCUCUACCUUGAAGAAGGCGCAAGAGCAUGAGCAUGCUUGCAUUAAGCCUGGGUGAAAUAAUCGGACCCAUCACAGUGCCAGGAUUCACUACAACAACAUCCAACCCACUCUCCUUUGCAAAUUCCCAAGCUGCUUUCUCCGCCAAAGUCUUCGACAAUGGAUACCACAACUGUUGCACACACAAACACUUCACACACCAACACAUAUAAGAAAAAGAAACAGAAAAUGAAAAAAAUGAAACCCUUUCUAACCCCUUUUUGCUUGCAAAAUUCAACGUCAGCCCAGCAGUCCUCCCUCUUUGGAACAUCACCGGGCCAACUGGGGCUCGGAAUAAUCGCCGAGACGGAGGACGUGACCACCACGCGACGCACUCCUGCUUCUUUCGCUGCCGUUAAUACGUUCACGGUACCCUUUAUCGCCGGGUCCAGAAGAUCCUUCUGCAUGAAGACUCAAAUGGGAUGAUGAAAAAACCCAAAAGAUUGAAAAUUUGUGAAGAGAUCGAGGAAACAAGACCUGGGGAUCCGAGACUUGAUCAACAAUGCAGGGAGAGGCGAGGUGGAAAACGCCGGCGCAGCCGCGCAUGGCAGCGAGUACGGAGUCAUAGUGGAGGAGCUCCAUCUGAAAGAGGCGGAGGCGCUCCGACGCUCCAUCCAAGUCUUGUAGAUGCUUUGUCUCGGCCUCAUCGUCUGUUAGAAAAGUUGUGUUGUGCUGUGUAAGUAUAUAUUGGGAUGAAACGAAUGAAUAAUAAAAGUUUGGAAUGUGCUAACUGAGAUUUUGGACGGUGGCGUGAACGGUGUAGCCGCGGUCCAGAAGGAGGUGCACGAGCCAUGAACCGAUGCCGCCGCUGCCGCCGGUGACACACACCACCUUCUCCAUUUUGCAGCUGUAUUCUAAGAUGCACUACUUGAAGAACUCCACUGUACUAAGAUAAUGAUGACACGUGUAAGAGAGGAAGAAACAAAGAAAACGAAAGACAGCCACAGAAAGAACAGAGAAAAAAUGAAAACGACGUUCAGAUAAAAGGCAAAAAAUGACCGAAGCAAACAGUUCCAAACAGCAAAAUAUUAGGUUUUAUUUUUUAGUGACUAAAUUAAUAUUGAAUUAUAAAUUUUUAAAGAAUACUUGUAUAAUGUAAUUGUCAUAUUUCUCUAUUAUGUAGAAUUGUAGUGAAAUGGAGGUUAAAUAAUGGUGCCCAACUUGCUAGCUGAAGGUUUUAAAAGGCAAGGAAAAAAUGAUAGCAAAUUAACCGUCAUGUACAAAAAAAGUGGUGGUCCCACAAUCACAAAAAUAGCAUAUAAAUUAAAUAAAAGAACUGACACGUAGAGUUUAGUGUAAUUUGAUGAUUUAUUUAUAAAUUAUUAUUUAUGGUUAUUUUACUGAUUUUUGUAAUAAGUAUUUGAUAUAGUUUAGGAGAGGAUAUGGUAUGCUUUAAUAAGAGGAUUUGAGCACACUUAAGCUUAAAUGAGUGUAUAUAAGCAACAAAAGAAAGAAAAAUAAAUCUAUACAAUUGUUGGAUCAUUCCAAGACUCAAUCAUAGAGGAACACAAACUCAUAGUAGAUAAUUUUUUCUUUUCAUUAAUUUAAUUUCCAACUCAUUGAGAUAAUUAUAAAAGCGUUUCUAUCCAUAACAUUAUGACAAAAUGUAGAGUACACCUUAUUUUCUUAAUAUAUAUAAUUUGACUUUUAUUAACCAAGUGGGCUUCUUCAAUGCCUAAAUCAUUUUAAUAUUUGGCUCCAUUAUUGUGUACCUGUUUCUCAUUUUCUGGUUCUUAUCUCAGACCAACUAAAGCCCACCACGUAUCGUUUCCCAAUUUUUACUUUAUGCAUAUGGACCCGCUUUUUGUUUGUUGCUAUUUUACUUUAUUCCUUUUCAUUUUAUUUUUAAUUCAAAAUAUUAUUAUAUUAUUAUAAGUGUUUGUUAAGUGUAUCUUAUUUACUGUUUUUUAUUGUUUAUGGUUUUAAAGAAACUUUUCUCUUUUGUCAUACAUUCACAUGGGGAGUGCUCAUUUGUUUGCAUGAAAAUUGAAAUACUAAGAGUUGCAGAUGUACAAGAAAGAAAGAGUAGCUCUAAACAAAGAAUAACUUUAUUUUUUAAAAUAAUUUCAGUAACAUUCUUAUAACUUUCUUUUAUUUACAGUACUUUCAUUCUUAUGUCGUAAAAUUAGAAAAAGUAGUUUUUUAUCAAUCAAUAUCGAACGGGUGAGUCAUUUAGUUUCGGAAAUCGAUCAACUGCGUUAAAAUACAUUUAAUACACUCAAUAAAUGACUAUUGUUACAAUUAUGAAAACUUCCGACAAAUCAAAGUCAUAUUCCAUCGAAUUUGGGUGACACCCCCAAGAAAAUAGCUAAUAUUGAUUUAUUGAAGAUAUUCUCCAAAUAUACAUCUCUAUAAUUCAAGGAAUCCCCUAAAAAGCCACUUAACACUGAUAUUUGAUAAAUGCGGUUCAUCACACAAAAUGACUCAUGACUAAACAUUAUAAAUAAAUAUUUUACAAAAGAGGAAUGUAUGUUUUUUAUCAGUUUCACUAUACACUCUUAACACAAGGUACUCACUUGAUCGUCGAAAAAUCUUUUGCAAGUUAACUCCUAAUCGACUAUUGAGAAAUUGAGGAUAGGGAGUCUUGAAGUUUGAAGGAGUGAAGUACUAAGGAGCAAGGGAGGGACCGACAACCAAAACAAUUGUUACAGUCAAUCCCAUGUACUAUUUAUGCUCACUUUGUCAAUACAAGUACAAGUUCCAUCAUUUCAACGUGUGUAAGAGGCUUGACGAGAAGAUUUGUUGUAUUCGACAUUCCCCAAUGCGAAGAUAAUUUUUUUUUUUUAGUUUUAUACUUCAUUUUUGCACAUCAUUUUUUUAUGAAUUUUGUGGCUUCCAAAAAAAGAAAAAAAAUAAAUGAAUAAAAACACAGUCACCAUGAGCAAUCACCAUCACUUGAAAAUGAAGAAGACACAACACUCUCCAUCAAAUAUUGUUGGAAUUAAAAAAGAGUAUGGAAGUGGAGAAUGAAGGUACGGAGAUGCAAGGAGAAUUUGCCAUCAAUUUUGUGCAUAUGGGAUUACUUUUUGCAUCACAUUUUGGUAUCACCCUUCCUUCAUAGGUGUUUCUUUCUGCACCUCUACAUUUUUCUUCUUGCACCUCUACAUUUUUCUUCUUGCACCCCUACAUUCAUGUGUAAUUACAAAGUAUCUCUAAGACAUCUAAAAAAACCCAAAAGGAGCAUAUCUCACUCUUUCUUUCUUCCUUUUCUACAAUUGUUGUGCACCUUGUUCAAGGAGCGAACAAAGGACAAUAAGUGGUAAUGCAUUGGGAUGUUGUUGGUGGUUCAUUUUCUGAAAUCUUGAUGGUGGUUAGAUGAUUUCUAAGAUGACUCUGUAUUAAGAAAAGAAGAUAAGUAAUAUUAUUUUUUGUUUACACUGUAUUGAGAAAAGAAGAUAAGUAAUAUUAUUUUUUGGUUACAUAUUGGAUGUUUAAUUUUUUAACUAAUUUUGAAUUCCGUAAUGCAACUUUUAGGAUUUCAGAGACAAGUGAGUCCGUAAUAGAGCACAUUGAUCCAAGAAUUAACUAGAUUGGUGUAUUUGUGUGGUUAUUUACACUUUAUAAACAUGGUUGUAAUUCCUAGCUGUAAUGGCAAAUAGAAAACUCUUGUAGCAGCCAAAUGGAUCCAGACUUUUUUUGUAAAAAACGUGGUGCCCCACUUGCAGCAAACAGAAAAUAACGAGUAAAUAAAAAAAUAGGGUUUGCAGGAAAUAUAGAAAACAAUGAGGAAAGAAAAGAAUGGCAUGUGAAGGCACUGUAAGGAAGGGUGAUGCCACAUCGUGAUCAGAAUGAGUGGUUGUGAUGGAUGAAUGAAUAAUUAAGAUUCCUUCACAUUCUAAACAGUAUCUCACUUUCAUUCUCUAACCAUUUAUAGUAAUAUCCCCACGUAUUCUUUCUUCUUUUAUAACAAAAACAAAAACAACCACCCCUUUUCUCUUUUCUUUUUUAAUUUACUACUUUUAAUAUUAUUAUUUUAAUAUUUUUUUAUAUCAUUUAAUUAUAAAUCAUUCUUUUAUUCUGCUCUCCAUGUGAAUGUUUGAAGAGUAAAUCAUCUAGGUGUCAAAAAGAACAUUGACAUAUUGGUUUAUAAUUAAAAAUUCUUGAUUCUACAUAUUUUUAACUUUGAGUAGGAAGUUGAUGUUAUAUUAUUAUGUUUAUAUUUAUUAGUUCAAAUUUAAUUGAAUUGAAUAACUGAUUUUUUUCUUUAAUUUAUAAUAGAAUUAAACAAUUAUUAAAAUAAUUCAUAUUUAUUAAAACUAACCACACCAACAAAAGUUUAACGAUACAUAUGAUAGUGCCUCAUUUUAGAACUAAGAGGAAUUUGCAGCAAACAUGUGGCUUUUAGGACUCGUAUUGCAGCAGCAAUUAUGCAAGGAAUCCUUUUUUCUUCAAAUCUUCUACAGCAUCCUUAAUAAUCUCUUCAAUUGGAGUGAAUUGCAAACCCAAAUCCAUAAGUUUCGUUGAUGCAUCCUUCACUCUCAGUAAUCCUGGUUGGGUAUCUCGUUGCAUCCUUUCAAGCAAAAUCACAAACUACAUCAUUUACAAGUACGUUAUGCAUUAACAAUACAUGUAUGAAGUGUGUGGGUAACUUACUUAGGCACAUUGUACUCUGGAUAAAGUUCACCAACUUGGGCUGCAAAAUCACCAAAGUGAGAGAUAGCUUCAGCACACAGAUGCCUACCAACUGCAGAUUUGUUCUCAUACACCAAGAUAUGUGCCAAUGCUACAUCCUUAAAGUGGACCGAUCCCAUAAAAAUGUUCUCAUAUGUUUCAUCAGAACCUGCCACGCCACAUACAAAAGGUCACAAAUUCUCAGUAAUUCCCCUAAAACAUCAUAAAUUGGGUAGUUUCAUGUUAAUAUUCCGGUCAACGAUUAUAGAUUAUAUGGUAAAAAAUUUAAUAAAAAAAAAGUGUAGUGAUUUUCACGAAUUAUAAAUGUCCUACGCAUCUAUACCAUCGACCAAGUUGUAGCAGGUCUUGUGAAAUUAGUCUAAUAGUUAGGUAACAACAACAGUAGCCCUAUUCACAUUAUACCAUUUUAAUCAGUUAAAAAUGUAUGCAUCAUUCAUCACAAGAUCCCUAACAUGGUGUUAAAUAGUGGUAUGCGACUAUGACUUUAGUGGUUCCGUCCACAGAUUUGGACGGAUGAAUACAAACAGAAAGCAUGAAAAUCAAAAGUAAAAAAUUGUUAGAUUCUUUCCUCGCAUAGCUGUGAGGAGUAGCAAAGAAAGUUGAAUAAACAUUAUAAUCAUAUAUUUACAAUAAAAUAUAUAUUCUAUAACGGAUCAUUACAUAGUCUGAUGACAUAUAUUUAUCAAAUAAUCCAUUUUUUUAAUAAUAUAAUUGAUUAUGGAAUAUACAUGUUAUUAUAUUUUUAUAUAAUUAUUAUAUUAUAUAUAUACACUAAAAAAAAUAUAAAUAUAGUAAAAAAAAUAAUUAGUUGUUAUAAUAACUAAAUUAGAAAUUAUUUUAAAAACUAAAAAAAAUAAUUUUUAAAUUAGUUUAUAUUAUUAUUAAAUAGUUUUGUAAUUUGUAUUUAAUUAGCUACCAAGGUUUUAACUCCCAAUUAUUUAAUUUCUAAAUUUGGUCGUAAAAAUUUUGGUUGCUAAUUAAAUACUAAUUUAAAAAUUAUUUAAUGAUAAUACAAACUAAUUUAGAAACUAAAGUUUUUUUUUCUCUAAAAUGAUUUAUAAUUUAGUUACUAUAUCAACUAAAUAUUUUUUAUUCUCUAAACAUAGUUUUCUAUUUGAUGUUUUUUUUUAGUGAUAUUAUUAAUUGAUUAAUAUUUGUAUUUUUAUUCUAAACAUAAUUAAUUAUACAAUAUAAUACAAUGUAAUAAUAAUAAGUAGUCAAACAAUAAAGAAAUAUAAAAUAAUAAUAAUAAAAUAGUCUCUACCUUGAAGAAGGUGCAAAAGCAUGAGCAUGCUUGCAUUAAGCCUCGGUGCAAUAACCGGACCCAACACCAUCCCAGGAUUCACUACAACAACAUCCCACUCACUCUCCUUUGCCAAAUCCCACGCUGCUUUCUCGGCCAAUGUCUUCGACAAUGGAUACCACAACUGUUGCACACACAAACACUUCACACCCCAACACAUAACAAAAACAAACACAAAAUUCAAAAAAUGAAAACCCUUUCUAACCGCUUUUUCCUUGCAAAAUUCAACGUCAGUCCAGCACUCCUCCUUCUUUGGAACAUCACCGGGCCAAUUGGGGCUCGGAACAAUCGCGGUGAUGGAGGACGUCACCACCACGCGACGCACUCCAGCUUCUUUCGCUGCCGUUAGCACGUUCACGGUGCCCUUUACCGCCGGGUCCAGAAGAUCCUUCUGCAUGAAGACCCAAAUGGGAUGAUGCAAAAACCCUAAAGAUUGAAAAUUUGCAAGAAGAUCGAGAGAACAAAACCUGGGGGUCCUGGACUUCAUCAACAAUGCAGGGAGAGGCGAUGUGGAAUACGCCGGCGCAGCCGCGCAUGGCUUCGAGUACGGAGUCGUAGUGGAGGAGCUCCAUCUGGAAGAGGCGGAGGCGCUCCGACGCUCCAUCCAAGGCUUUUAGAUGCUUUGUCUCGGCCUCAUCGUCUGUUAGAAAAGUUGUGUUGUGCUGUGUAAGUAUAUAUUGGGAUGAAACGAAUGAAUAAUGAGAGUGUGGAAUGUACUAACUGAGAUUUCGGACGGUGGCGUGAACGGUGUAGCCGCGGUCCAGAAGGAGGUGGACGAGCCAGGAAGCGAUGGCGCCGCUGCCGCCGGUGACACACACCACCUUCUCCAUUUUGCAACUUAAUUCUAACACGAAAACGAUCACUAGAGACUUGAGAAGUCCACUUUGAAAUCAAGAGAAGAAGAAAGAAACAAGUGUAAUGAUGUGACGAACAUACACAUUUUUAUAGAAUAAUAUCACUUCAAUACUAUUAUUUUAAACAUCUAUACAUCCGUAUUUUAUUAUUUUAUUCAAUUUUUAUGUUAAAUUUCAUAAAAAAUUAACAUUAAAUAUAUAAAAAAUAUUACUUAAAAAAUAUUUAUUUUCUUUUUCAAUUUGAGUUUUUUUUUUUUUGAAGUUUUUACUCUUCUUCCAUUGAUAGUUUUGGAAUGAGAGAGUAUAAUGAUGAUAAUGAUUUUAUAAAAAAAUAUAAUUGUUUCUAAUGAGGAAUUGAAAAUAAAUGUUAUUUUAUUUGUUAAAUUUUAUGUAAAAACUUGAUCGUAUGUUUUAUUUUUUUCUUUUGUCUUAAAAUUAAGAAAAGAGUAGGAGAUGUGCAUAUGCAAUAAUAUUAAAAUAAAAAAUAGUUUUAAUUUUUAAUUAAUUUAUAUAAAAUAAUAAAAUAUUUAAUUAUAUUAAUAAAAUGAGAUAUAUUAAAUAAAGAUAAAAUAAAUUAUACACUAAAAAUCGAUUAUAAUAAAAAAAUUAUAUAUAGAUAUAAAUAUUUUUUUAUAUUAUUUAAUUUCAAAGUUAGUCUUUAUUAUAUAUAUUUAAUUGUCAAACUGUAUUAAAAAAAAAAGACAGGGACAGUAGAAUUAAUUUGACAGAAAACGAAAGACAUGGAAAAUUUGACAACAAAAAUAUCGAAAUCAGCAAUGCAGAAUUAAUUAUAGGAAAGUUGGUGAGUACGAAAACCAAUCCAAUUUUUUAAAGGAUCCGGAUUUUUGACAACGUACGCAUCGUAUAACUCUGAAAAAAUCUUAAUAUUUUAAUAGUGUGUGAUCUUCUGUCAUAUUGGAAUCUUUUUCUUAUCUUUUUUGUAGUUUUCAUAUUUUGAGGUUUCUUUCUUUUUUUUAAGCUUCACUAUGUAUUUGCAAAUUUUUCUUUGUGCACUGAAACAUUUAUUUUUUCUUCUGUAUUGUUUUUAUUUGAUCUCGGUUUUAUUUAUUGUUAUCGUUAUUCAUAAUAAUAUUAUUUUUAUUAAUACUAUUAUUAAAAUUAAUAAUAAUACUAAUACUAAUAUUAAUAAUAAUUUAAAUAAUAAAAAUAAUUUUAAUAUUACUACUAAUUAUAAUAAUAUUAUUAUUAUUAGUAAUAAUAUUAGUAUUAGUAGUAAUUAUAAUAAUAAUAAUUAUUAUUAUUAUAAUAAUAUUUUUUAACUAGUGUUAUUUAUUUAUCUUUAUAUUCUUACAAUUCCGAUUUAAUUUAGUCAAAUAUAUUCUUAAAGAAAAAAAAUAUUUAUUGUCAAACAUAAUUUUGAAUUGGAUUUUUUGACAUCAUUGUUAUAAUUUUAUUCAAAAUGAUUUUUUUUAUGUUUAAAUUUCAUAUUGUGAUUAAAUUUAGUAUGAAAGAUUUUAUUUAUUGAAGUACUGAGCAAUUGGACUCGAGUAUGAUUGAGGUUAAUCCGUUGGUCAUUUAAAAAAAUGGUUUAGGAAGUGGUGACCUAGUCUAACGGUUAGAGAGGAUGAUGAAUAAGGUGAAUUGAGUUUGUUUAUAACACAUUAAAUUUAUUAUUCACAUGAAAUUUAUUUUUCACAUGAAAAAUGAAAUCUAUUACUUUAAACAUGAUUGUUAAUAUGGAUAACAAAGACCUACUAACUAAUAAAAUUGUCUUAAAUCAUAAAUUAAAAUUAUUCUACACAACUACAAGUUGGAUUGAUUCGUUAUAAUAAUUGUACACGGAUAACAGUAACAUUAGAGAAAUUCAGCUUGUACGAGACUGUUUUCUCAAUGCCUUGUUUGAGAUUUUAUAUUUUGUUUGACUGUGUGGCUUUGUCGGUAUGGUAGACGUUCCUUGGUAGAAAGAGGAUAAAGUACAAAUUUGUAUAAGGGUUAGACCACUAUGUAGUGGUUCAUAUUUAUUAUUUUUUAUUGAUAAUAAAAAAACAAUUUUAUUAUCAUUUUAUUUUAUUUAUUUUGAUGGAUGUAUUACAAUAGUAUAAUAAAUUAUUAUAGAAUCAUAAUUUUGUAUUAGUUUUUUUUUACGUUCAAGUUAUAUUUAGUAUGUAUUUUUUUAAAAUAAAAUCAUAUUUAUAGAUUUUUGAACUUAUUGAAAUAUCGAAUAAAAUUAUUUGAAAAAUCUAUUAUUGAAUAUUAUAGAUCAUUCCAAGACUCAAUCAUAGAGGAACACAAACUCAUAGUACCAAAGGAUAACUUUUUUUUCAUUAAUUUAAUUUCCAACUCAUUGAGAUAAUUAUAAAAGCAUUUCUAUCCAUAACAUUAUGACAAAAUGUAAAGUACACUUUAUUUUCUUAAUAUAUAUAAUUUGACUUUGAUUAACCAAGUGGGCUUGCUGAUAAAAAAAAAACCAAGUGGGCUUCUUCAAUACCUGCAUCAUUUUAAUAUUUGGUAACAUUGUUUAUGGUUUCCCAAUUUUUACUUUAUGCAUAUGGACCCACUUUUUGUUUGUUGCUAUUUUACUUUAUUCAUUUUCAUUUUAUUUUUAAUUCAAAAUAUUAUUAUAUUAUUAUAAGUGUAUCUUAUUUACUGUUGUUUAUUGUUUAUGGUUUUAAAGUAACUUUUCUCUUUUGUCAUACAUUCACAUGGGGAGCGCUUAUUUGUUUGCAUGAAAAUUGGAAAUAAGGAGUUGAAGACGUACAAGAAAGAAAGAGUAACUCUAAAUAAAAGAAUAACUUCACUUUUUAAAAUAAUUAGUACGUUGAACCGUGGAACGCACGGGAAUUUUUUCAAUAUUUUAUAUGUAAAUAUUAAUAUUAAAAUUAAUAAUUUAAUUUAUUUAUAUAUAAUUUCAGUUAUACUUCCGUAUUUUUAUAUCUUUCUUAUAUAUUUUUAGUUGUAAUAUUUGAAAAAGUAGUUUUUGGAUCGAUCAAUACCAAAUGAGUGAGUUAUUUCACUUUGAAAAUUUAUCAACCACAUUAAAAUACAUUUAAGACACUCAAUAAAUGAGUUGCAACAAUUAUGAAAACUACCUACAAAUCAAAGUCAUAUCCCAUCUCGGUGAUACUCCGGGAAAAUAAUUAAUAUUAAUUUAUUGAAUAUAUUAUCUAAAUAUACAUAUCUAUAAAUCAGGGAAUCUCCUUAAAAAAUCACUUAACACUGAUAUUUGAUAAAUUCGACCCAUAACAAGAAAUGACUCAUGAGUAAACCCUUUACAAAGAAGGAAGAUACGCUUUUGAUCAAUUUCACUAUACACUCUUAACACAAGGUACUUACUUGAUCGUUGAAAAACCUUUUGCAAGUUAACUCCUAAUCGACUAUUGAGAAAUUGAGGAGAAGGAGUCUUGAAGUUUAAAUGAGUGAAGUACUGAGGAGCAAGGGAGGGACCGACAACCAAAACAAUUGUUACAGUCAAUCUCAUGUUAUAUCUAGUCUCACUUUGUCUAUACAAGUACAAGUACCAUAAUUUCAUCGUGUGUAAGAGGCUUGACGAGAAGAUUUGUUGUAUUUGACAUUCUCUAGUGGAAAGACAAUUUUUUUAGUUUUGUACUUCAUUUUUACACAUUGUUUUUUUGUGGUUUCCAAAAAAAAAAAAAACAAAACAAAAACAGAGUCACCACCGAACAAUCAUCAUCACUUGAAAAUGAAGAAGAUACAACACUCUCCAUCAAGUAUUGUUGGAAUUAAAAAAGAGUAUGUAAGUGGAGGAUGAAGAUAUGGAGGUGCAAAGAGAAUUCGCCAUCAAUUUUGUGCAUAUGGGACUACUUUUUUCAUCACAUUUUGGUAUCACCCUUCCUUCAUGGGUGUUUCUUUCUGCACCUUUAUAUUUUUCUUCCUGCACCCCAACAUUCAUGUGCAAUUACAAAAGUAUCUCUAAGACAUCUAAAAAACCCAAAAGGAGCAUAUCUCACUCUUUCUUUCUUCCUUUUCUACAAUUGUUGUAAAAAACGUGGUGGCCCACUUGCAGCAAACAGCAAAUAAUGGGCAAAGAAAACACGAUGACCCCACUUGCAGCAAACAGAAAAUAAUGAGUAAAUAAAAAAAUAGGGUUUGCAGGAAAUAUAGAAAAGAAUGAGGAAAGAAAAGAAUGGCAUGUGAAGGCAUUGUAAGGAAGGGUGAUGCCACAACGUUAUGAGAAUGAGUGGUUGUGAUGGAUGAAUGAAUAAUUAAGAUUCUUUCACAUUCUAAACAGUAUCUCACUUUCAUUCUCUAACCAUUUAUAGUAACAUCCCCACUUAUUCUUUCUUCUUUUAUAACAAAAAACAUAAACAACCACCCCUUUUUUCUUUCCUUUCUUUUAUUUACUACUUUUUUUAUAUCAUUUAAUUAUAAAUCUUUCUUUUGUUCUGAUCCCCAUGUGAAUGUCUGAAGAGGAAAUCAUUUAGGUGUCAAUAAGAACAUUGACAUAUUGGUUUAUAAUUAAAAAUUCUUGAUUUUGCAGACUUUAACUUUGAGUAGAAAGUUGAUAUUAUAUUAUUAUGUUUAUCUAUUUAUUAACUCAAAUUUAUUGAAUUGAAGAACUGAUUUUCUGCUUUGAUUUGUAAUAGAAUUAAACAAUUUUUAAAAUAAUUCAUAUUUAUUUAUUCCUUCAUACUAAUAAUAAAACUAACCACACCAACAAAAGUUUAACAACACAUAUGAUCGUGCCUUAUUUUACAACAACAGGAAUUUGCACCAAACAUAUGUGCCAUAAGGACUCAUAUUGCAGCAGCAAUUAUGGAAGGAAUCCUUUUUUCUUCAAAUCCUCUACAGAAUCCUUAAUAAUCUCCUCAAUUGGAGUGAUUUGCAAACCCAAAUCCAUAAGUUUCUUUGAUCCAUCCUUCACUCUCAAUAAUCCUGGUUGGGUAUCUCGUUGCAUCCUUUCAAGCAAAAUCACAAAGCACAUCAUUUACAAGUAAGUUAUGCAUUAACAAUACAUGUAUCAAGUGUGUGGCUAACUUACUUAGGCACUUUGUACUCUGGAUAAAGUUCACCAACUUUGGCUGCAAAAUCACCAUAGUGAGAGAUAGCUUCAACACACACAUGCCUACCAGCUGCAGAUUUGUUCUCAUACACCAAAAUAUGUGCCAAUGCUACAUCCUUAAAGUGAACCGAUCCCAUAAAAAUGUCCUCAUAUGUAUCAUCACAACCUGAGACGCAACAUACAAAAUGUCACAAAUUCUCAGUAAUUCCCCUGAAAAAUCAUAAAUUGGGUAGAGUUUGAUAUUUGUAUUCGGGUCAACGACUAUAGUGUGCAAAAAUAUAAUGAGAAGAGCAUAGCAUAAUCAAAUAAGUCUAAUACUUUUCACGAAGGCAUCAAGUUCUAAAUGCCCUACGCAACUAUAUACCAUGAACUAAGUUGUAGCAGGUCUUGUGAAAUUAGUCUAAUAACUAGGUAACAGAAACAGUAGCCCUAUUCACAUGAUACCAUUUUAUUCAGUUAAAAUAUUAUACAUUAUUCAUAAUAACAAGGUCCCUAACAUGGUGUUAAAUAGUUUUUUUAUGAGAAAAAAAAAUAAUCAAAAUAUUUCAAUUCAACCGUUAUAAGUCAUAACUAACUAGAUCUCUUAUAUUCAAUAAACAAGUUUCUAAAACAAACCCAAAACAUGACAAUCUACCAACAUGGUUUUCAAUAAUGGUAUGCAACUAUGACUUUAGUAUACAAUUCUUCUCAAAGGAUAUUUUCCUUUAAAAGAAAAAUUCCUUUGUCUUUCUGAGUGUCUCUCAGACACACCUUUCCAUGCAAUCAACGUUUCUCUAGUGGCUCAGUAAUACUUCUGUAAUAAUGCAGAAUAUUUCAGCACUUCUCAAUAUUCAAGAGACUCCUACUGCAAGAUUAGAAAGCAAUAUUUGGAAAAGGCAAUUGAUUAAGCAUAAGUCUCUCUCUACCUUGAAGAAGGCGCAAGAGCAUGAGCAUGCUUGCAUUAAGCCUGGGUGCAAUAACCUCACCCAAAACAAUGCCAGGAUUCACUGUAACAACAUCCAACCCACUCUCCUUUGCAAAAUCCCAAACUGCUUUCUCCGCCAAUGUCUUCGACAAUGAAUACCACAACUGUUCCACACACAAACACUUCACACACCAACACAUAACAAAAACAAACACAAAAUUCAAAAAAUUAAAACCCUUUCUAACCGCUUUUUGCUUGCAAAGUUCAACGUCAGCCCAACACUCCUCCCUCUUUGGAACAUCACCGGGCCAAGUGGGGCUCGGAAUAAUCGCCGCCACGGAGGACGUCACCACCACGCGACGCACUCCUGCUUCUUUCGCUGCCGUUAGCACGUUCGCGGUGCCCUUUAUCGCCGGGUCCAGAAGAUCCUUCUGCAUGAACACCCAAAUGGGAUUAUGCAAAAACCCAAAAGAUUGAAAAUUUGCGAGAAGAUCGAGAGAGCAAGACCUGGGGGUCCUGGACUUGACCAACAAUGCAGGGAGAGGCAAUGUGGAAUACGCCGGCGCAGCCGCGGAUGGCUUCGAGUACGGAGUCGUAGUGGAGGAGCUCCAUCUGGAAGAGGCGGAGGCGCUCCGACGCUCCAUCCAAGGCUUGUAGAUGCUUUGUCUCGGCCUCGUCGUCUGUUAGAAAAGUUGUGUUGUGAUGUGUUAGUAUUGGGGUGAAACGAAUGAAUAAUAUUGAGAGUGUGGAAUGUACUAACUGAGAUUUUGGACGGUGGCGUGAACGGUGUAGCCGCGGUCCAGAAGGAGGUGGACGAGCCAGGAACCGAUUGCGCCGCUGCCGCCGGUGACACACACCACCUUCUCCAUUUUGCAACUUAAUUCUAACACGAAAACGAUCACGAGAGACUGGAGAAGUCCACUAUGAAUUCAAGAGAAGAAGAAAGAAAGAAAGAAGUG